CCUACGGGAGGCUGCAGUGGGGGAUAUUGCACAAUGGGGGGAACCCUGAUGCAGCGACGCCGCGUGGGUGAAGGAGCGUUUCGGCGCGUAAAGCUCUAUCGGCAGGGAAGAAGGAGGACGGUACCUGACUACGAAUCCUCGGCUAAAUACGUGCCAGCAGCCGCGGCAAUACGUAGGGGGCCAGCGUUAUCCGGAUUUACUGGGUGUAAAGGGGGCGGAGGCGGCAGCGCAAGCCAGGAGUGAAAGCCCGGGGCCCAACCCCGGGACUGCUCUUGGAACUGGGCGGCUGGAGUGCAGGAGGGGCAGGCGGAAUUCCUGGUGUAGCGGUGAAAUGCGUAGAUAUCAGGAAGAACACCGGUGGCGAAGGCGGGCUGCUGGACUGCGACAGACGUUGAGGCCCGAAAGCGUGGGGAGCAAACAGGAUUAGAUACCCGGGUAGUC
RNAcentral lists this ribosomal RNA (441 nucleotides) under uncultured bacterium. RNAcentral describes it as "partial 16S ribosomal RNA". It matches the Rfam family "Bacterial small subunit ribosomal RNA", at positions 338 to 795 of the family's 1533-position model. The record is from RNAcentral.